Molecule: ribosomal RNA, 253 nt
Filed under: uncultured bacterium
Lineage: Bacteria
Description: partial 16S ribosomal RNA
Rfam family: Bacterial small subunit ribosomal RNA
Source: RNAcentral
GACAGAGGGGGCAAGCGUUGCUCGGAAUUACUGGGCGUAAAGGGCGCGUAGGCGGGAUGGCAAGUCGGUCGUGAAAGCCUUCGGCUCAACCGAAGAACGUCGGCCGAUACUGCCGUUCUUGAGGGAUGCAGAGGAGACUGGAAUUCCCGGUGUAGCGGUGAAAUGUGUAGAUAUCGAGAGGAACACCUGCGGCGAAGGCGGGUUGCUGGGCUGACACUGACGCUGAGGCGCGAAAGCCAGGGGAGCGAACGGG